This 1831-nucleotide long non-coding RNA is filed under the name Gallus gallus (chicken). Lineage: Eukaryota; Metazoa; Chordata; Aves; Galliformes; Phasianidae. The record is from RNAcentral.
GGCAAAUUAAAACAAGUCACUGACCAAUGUUCCAGAGUAGAAGGAGCAUUACCCUGUGUAACAGUUCUUAUAAAAUAUCCUAAGAAUAUCUGUAUCAAAUAAUUUGUACUGAUCAGAAAAAAGGUCUGAGAAGAAACAGUAGGCAAGGAACUGAACAAUCAAAAAUGACAUAGUAACAUAAAAUAUUUCCAUCACUAUUUAAAUGCCAAAUUAAAUCAAGCAAUAGUAAAAACAAAACAGAAACAAAAACAACAACAAAGAAACAGAAAACUAAAGCUCUUCUGUUUAAAAUAACAGCACUGUUUUUGCUUAUUUUCAAUGAUUUUUUUUUCUUAUGAACACACUAUAUACUUGAUUAUUUCUUUCAUACAGAGUAAUGUGUCCAUUCGGUUUGGUCUGUCACUUCAGUGAAGCUGAUUGGCAGUCAGCCCAUCACAUCUCACCUUUGACACAUAUUUAAUGCUUUUUUCCUCUUACGUUCACUACUCUGGUGCCUCCUCUUCUCAAGUUAAAUACUUCUUCUUCUUUUUCUUUAUACAGUGCAGAGUAUAUGGGCUUAGGAUAUGGAGAUUUUCCUCUACUCCAGUUCACUGUCUAGUUCUGAGUUCAGUGGUGUGCAGUAGUUUGGCUUGUCUGAAGGUACGUACCCUGGGAGACACAAACACUUGUACGAACCUUCUGUGUUAAUGCAUUUGGCGUUCUUGCAGAGAGACAUCCUGUUGUUCAGCUCAUUGCACUCAUUCACAUCAACACAAGUCAUCUUGGCCAUGUCCAGGUGAUAACCAUCAAAGCAGUCACAGGUGUAGCCCUCCUGCACUCUCACACAUCGGCCAUUUUCACAUCCAUUUAGAAUACCACAUUCCUCUGCCUGUAACUCCUCAAAGCUGUUCAGAAAACGGUCUUCGACAAAGUAUGGAUUAGUUUCUGGAGUGUAGUGCUCCUCAAAGUCAACCAAAGCAUCUUGUCCAUAUGGCCGUCGAGAUCCUGGAACAGGAAUGUUGCACAGCUGGGCAUAAUCCUCUGAGGGGAGAAAGAAAAGAGGAUAUAAAACUAAUCACACUUGUAAAACAGGCUGUGUUGCAUUAGUCGCAGUGCAUUGUGGCUCAUAUUAGCUGGAAACAAACCUAUCUUCCUAGAAACACCAUAAAUCUGCGAUUCCCACAAAUCAUUGUCUCUUCAAGAAGAAUGUCAUUAAAACGUAAUGAGCCAAAUGCAGACUAUUAAGUCAUAAUAGGGAUAACACCAGAGAUGGAUUUUAGUCAGUAACUGUACCAAAAGUUAUGGGUUAUGUUCUUCUGGUCUGCUCUUGCCUUGAGCGGAGGGAUGCUGUGUGUCCCACUGCCAGUGCACCCUGAGCAGAACUGGCUGUGCUUAUGCUCUUUGCUGCUUUAAUAAAGGCUCUCCCAGCCCUUUGUCUGCUAGCAGAAGACAUCCCAAAGGAAGCAAAAGAGGCUGUAUUUCUGGCAGUGCCAGCCAACCUGCAGAAAUCACAGAAUAAAAAACCCUUCCAAAAUAGCAUGCGCUCCUUUGCAAACCAUUCUUCAAACCACAGGCUUAAUUGUCAGUGCUGUUCAAGGUCUGCUUGGCUGCAAACCUGACAGGGUGAGGGGAAACGUAUGGGAGAAAUGGCUACACUGAAAUUCUGCCUCUCAAGUGAAAACAUACCAAAGCAGCUCUUCAUUUUAGGUGUCAGACUCCAUGUCUGAAAUGCUGGUAUACAGAGUUUGAUUUUUAUUUUUUUUUCAAUUUGAUUUAUUGUGUUCCCUCAGCUUGUCUCCUGUAUUUUUAGUAAAUGGUAAUUUAUUUGAGACUGGAAACUCAGUUAAAAUCC